This 230-nucleotide ribosomal RNA is filed under the name uncultured bacterium. RNAcentral describes it as "partial 16S ribosomal RNA". It matches the Rfam family "Bacterial small subunit ribosomal RNA", at positions 568 to 797 of the family's 1533-position model. The record is from RNAcentral.
UCCGUAGGCGGGCAGCUCAGUCAGUGGUGAAAGUUUGCAGCUCAACUGUAAAAUUGCCAUUGAUACUGGUUGUCUUGAAUCAUUAUGAAGUGGUUAGAAUAUGUAGUGUAGCGGUGAAAUGCAUAGAUAUUACAUAGAAUACCAAUUGCGAAGGCAGAUCACUAAUAAUGUAUUGACGCUGAUGGACGAAAGCGUGGGGAGCGAACAGGAUUAGAUACCCUGGUAGUCCC